Molecule: non-coding RNA, 1447 nt
Organism: Cyanistes caeruleus (blue tit)
Lineage: Eukaryota; Metazoa; Chordata; Aves; Passeriformes; Paridae
Source: RefSeq, a predicted model, not a curated record
AGACCCAGCUGUGGCUGCAGACCCAGCUGUGUUGGGGCUGGCUACAUUUGCCUGAGCAGAGCUGGUAACACGCUUGAAGCUUGAGCUCUGACACAGGCAGCAGCAAGCAUUGCUCUGAGGAGGAGUCCAGCUACAGUCAUCAUGUGGAUUGGCCUGUAAAACUGUAGUGGAGCUCUUUCUGCCAUCUCCUGCCUGCCUAAUUCAUACUCCUUAAGAAGCUGCUGCUCUAGGACGAACUGCCCUUUAAGCACAGGUUCUGCCUUCCUGUGACCUGUACCAGGUGCUUCUGAUCCAGCUGCAGUCCAGAGACAUCAGCUGUCAAAUUGGCUUCACAGAAUGAAGUGUUGUGACAACAAAUGAGUAAGGACUGAUGACUCCAAAAGCCACAAACUGCAUAUGAAGUUCUUGGGUGAUGACAAUUUCCUUUGUAAUAUUGCCCAGUGUCUGAGACUAUCCUGAUAGGGUUGUGUAGCCCUGUUGUGAGUAGUGUCCAAUUGCAAAGAGAAGGUUUGCACAAAGACUGAGGAUGGAAUAAGAGUCUUUAUGUCCAGAGAUGAACAGUGAUCUCCAAAAGCUCUUAACACUGACCUAACUCAGAACACAGUCAGUGGAUACAGAUGAAUUUUGGAGAUUCUUGACCAGCAUGGUGCAAAAUGCAGCCCUCUGGUCCAAUCUGGUCUGCAGGAUUAUCUGUCUUUUCUGAAACACCUCUUCUAUGGGAAUUCCAAUUAACAAACUGCUGCUUCCUCCCAAAGAGAGGGAAAGGAGUAUUAUUCUCAUGAUGAGCUGCUGCCUCAUCCCAAAGAGAAGGAAAUGUGGGCAGGGAUAUACCCUGAUACAGAGCAGUUGUUGCUGUGCUUCUGUCUGAAUGAUUUUGAGUUCUUGGACAUAUGAAAGAAACACUCCUGGGGAUAGCCUGGUACCUUAACUUUUUGCUGAACAGGUAAGAACAGCAGCACCUCUCCACCACUGCUGUUCUCAUUUGCUACUUGUUGGGGGGUGGGGAGGAGGGAUGGGACACAGAGUAGGGAGCAAGGGACAGUAAUUUUCCCCUGCAGCCUGUUGCUCCACCCAGCCUUCCCCUCUAGCCUGAUUCACUGCCCAAGUAUGACAGUGUGAAUGGCAGGAGGUAUGAACUGCUAUUGAUUGUCAUCUCAGUCAAGCUAACAGGGUACCUCUCCAGAUUUUGAUCAAUUAGAUUUUUCCUCUUUGGAAGUAGUAUAAACUUAUUUCUUUUGUUAUCAUGUCUGCUAAUAGCAGGGGAUUUUUCUGAAGGUAAUCUUGGAACACACCGGCAGCUCCAGGCACUCUGUAAGAAGCCAAAUACAAGGGAAGGGUGGAGUGAAGUUGCUUUUUGAUAAUAGGAAUAGUCUACAAGAAAGUUUCCUUAUCUCUCUUAAAUGCUUGUUUUUCAGAAAGUAACUGUGAUGAAAAGGCAGCAUCUAUU